RNAcentral lists this long non-coding RNA (1016 nucleotides) under Serinus canaria (Common canary). RNAcentral describes it as "lncRNA (ENSSCAG00000011476.1)". Lineage: Eukaryota; Metazoa; Chordata; Aves; Passeriformes; Fringillidae. The record is from RNAcentral.
GGCACAUGGGGCCAGGUUUGGCACCCGGGACUGGCAUCUGGGACCAGGACUAGUAGCUGGGACUGGCACCCAGGACUGGCCCCUGGAGCUGGCACUGGCACCUGGGAAUGGCCCCUGGAGCUGGCACUGGCACUUGGAGCUGGGAUUGGCACCUGGGACCAGGACUAGUACCCAGGACUGGCACCUGGGACUGAGACUGGCACCCGGGACUGGCACCUGGCACUGGCACUGGCACUGUGCUCCGGGCCCCAGCUCCCCGUGGCGCUGUCCCCGUGGCGCUGUCCCCUCCUGCCCCAGCUCUCCGUGGGGCUGUCCCCCAUCCCCUGCAGCAGCAGCGAUUCCUCCGCAAUCCUUGGGCAGCGCUCGCUGGGAGGGGAAAGGAGCGAGCCCGGAGCUCCCGGGGCUGCCGGGGCGGCUCCUCCCGGUGCCAGCUCAGAGCCCCCGGUGCCACCCGAGCUCUGGCCCAGACGGGUCUCCAGACGUCUGCGCUGUCUGAGGUUUGCCCAGCCCUGCUCUGUUCCCUUCCCGGGAUUCCCAGCCUGAAUUGUUCCCUAAUUGAUUCCAGGGCUGGGGAAGAGCAGGAACAGCCCCCAGCCCCCAGGGACGCGGUUGGGGCCGGGUUUGCCUGGUCCCUCCUGACCCAUUCCCUCUUUUCCUCCUCCCCUCUUUUCCUGGGCUCUCUUGGUUCCUUCUUUUUCUUGUUCCCUCUUUUCCUGGCUUCUCCUGGUUCCAUUUUUUCCAGGUCUCUUCUGGUUUCCUUCUUUUCCUGGUCCCUCUUGGUUCCUUUUCCUGCUCCCUCCCAAUUCCCUUCUUUCCUGGUCCCUCCUGAUUCCCUUCUUUCCUGGUCCCUCCUGGUUCCCUCUUUUCCUGAUUCCUUCCUGAAUCCCUUUUUUCCUGAUCUCCUGAUUCCUUCUUUUCCUGGUUUCUCCUGGUUCCCUUUUUUCCUGGUCUUUCCUGAUUCCUUCUUUUCCUGGUCCCUCCUGAUUCCCUCUUUUUCUGGUUCCCUCUUUUCCUAA